RNAcentral lists this transfer RNA (62 nucleotides) under Hypsibius dujardini. Its description in RNAcentral is "transfer RNA-Gln". Lineage: Eukaryota; Metazoa; Tardigrada; Eutardigrada; Parachela; Hypsibiidae. The record is from RNAcentral.
AAUUAGUAUAAAGUACACUAAAUUUUGAUUUUAGAGGGGCAAGUUUAAUUUUGUAUUAAUAA